Molecule: non-coding RNA, 89 nt
Organism: Canis lupus familiaris (dog)
Lineage: Eukaryota; Metazoa; Chordata; Mammalia; Carnivora; Canidae
Source: Rfam
GGGGGGAGGCCGGAUCCUGGGGUGUGUCCCGGCACCCUGUGCUGCGGGGCCUGCAGUGUUGGAUUCGGGCUCCCACCUCGCAGCCCCCU